CUAGCUGGUCUGAGAGGAUGACCAGCCACACUGGAACUGAGACACGGUCCAGACUCCUACGGGAGGCAGCAGUGGGGAAUAUUGCACAAUGGGCGCAAGCCUGAUGCAGCCAUGCCGCGUGUAUGAAGAAGGCCUUCGGGUUGUAAAGUACUUUCAGCGGGGAGGAAGGGAGUAAAGUUAAUACCUUUGCUCAUUGACGUUACCCGCAGAAGAAGCACCGGCUAACUCCGUGCCAGCAGCCGCGGUAAUACGGAGGGUGCAAGCGUUAAUCGGAAUUACUGGGCGUAAAGCGCACGCAGGCGGUUUGUUAAGUCAGAUGUGAAAUCCCCGGGCUCAACCUGGGAACUGCAUCUGA
Molecule: ribosomal RNA, 355 nt
Filed under: Escherichia coli
Lineage: Bacteria; Pseudomonadati; Pseudomonadota; Gammaproteobacteria; Enterobacterales; Enterobacteriaceae
Description: bacterial SSU rRNA
Rfam family: Bacterial small subunit ribosomal RNA
Source: RNAcentral